RNAcentral lists this ribosomal RNA (222 nucleotides) under uncultured Alphaproteobacteria bacterium. RNAcentral describes it as "partial 16S ribosomal RNA". It matches the Rfam family "Bacterial small subunit ribosomal RNA", at positions 1154 to 1397 of the family's 1533-position model. Lineage: Bacteria; Pseudomonadati; Pseudomonadota; Alphaproteobacteria. The record is from RNAcentral.
CGUGAUAAGCGGGAGGAAGGUGUGGAUGACGUCAAGUCCUCAUGGCCCUUACGGGUUGGGCUACACACGUGCUACAAUGGCAGUGACAAUGGGUUAAUCCCCAAAAGCUGUCUCAAUUCGGAUUGGGGUCUGCAACUCGACCCCAUGAAGUCGGAAUCGCUAGUAAUCGCGUAACAACAUGACACGAUGAAUACGUUCCCGGGCCUUGUACACACCGCCCGU